GCGACAACCUGUAAACUAAGCAGUCUAUUUGCAGCUAACUAAAGGGUUUGUGCAUGCAGGACCAGCUUAAUUAAAGACAAAAUUUAAAAGGAAAAAUUAUUUGGGCUGUACAACACUGAAAAAAAAAUCUGAAUCUAUGCUGUUUUUAAAUGGAUCCCUGGUUGAAGUGUGGGUUACAGCUGUCCCAGAAAUCAGUGCCACAAUGAAUUAGGAUGAUGUUGGCUACUGUUUGGCUUGGUGUUUCUUCAACUGUGUGCCAUGUCCCUCAGCAAAACACAGCACAGAAGUGGUUUCAAGAGGUGAUGUGGAAGUCAUCUGUGACUAUAUUACCGAAGUCCAAUCCAUCCUCGGAAACCUUGACUUUCAGCACCCAGAGACGGGGAAUACGCCUCUCAUUACUGCAGCAGAGGAAAAUCUAACAGAGGUUAUUGGAUUUCUUCUGGAAAAGCGAGUAGAUAUCACCCUUUGCAAUUACAGCAAUCGAACCGCAAUUCAUGUAGCUAAUUGCAAUAUCCAAAGACAACUCUUGGCAGUCAAUAGAAUCCAGGCUCCCCAAAUGCAACUUCUACAAAGUUCAUGGCAAGGUGAUCUUGAGCAAGUUCAACAUUUACUGAAAGACAUGCUGAGUCAUUGCUUGACAUUUGUCAUGAUACAAACUGUUCUCCAACUGAUUUGAUGACAGUUACCAAAAAUCAAAACAUCAUCUUGCAAAGCAUCAGCAAAAGUGAGGAGUUCGACCAAGAUGGUGACUGCAGUCAUUCCACACUGGUUAAUGAAGAAGAAGAUCCCAGUGGUGGUAGACAGGACUGGCAACCCAGGACAGAAGGUGUUGAGAUCACUGUAACUUUUCCAAGAGAUGUCAGUCCUCCCCAAGAAAUGAGCCAAGAAGACUUAAAAGAAAAGAAUCUGAUAAACUCAUCGCAUCAAGAAUGGGCACAAGCACAUGCAGUUUCUCAUCCAAAUGAAAUAGAAACGGUGGAGCUCAGGACAAAGAAGCUGACCAUGCGGCCCUUAGUUUUGCAAAAAGAGGAAAGUUCCAGGGAGCUCUGCAAUGUGAACUUGGGCUUUUUGCUGCCAAGAUCUUGUUUAGAACUAAACAUUUCCAAGUCUGUAACCAGAGAAGAUGCUUCUCAUUUUCUGAAGGAGCAGCAAAGAAAAUCUGAAGAGUUUUCGACCUCUCGUAUGAAGUACAGUGGCCGAAGCAUCGAGGUAAGAUUAGUGCUAGCGUUUUUGACUUGAGAAUUAAAACCAAACAACUCUAUCCAUUAAUUUAGAACCAAAUCCUCAGCAAUUACACUUGACCCUUCAACAAUGCAGGGGGUAGGGUCACUGAUGUCCCCAACACAGUCAAAAAUCCACACAUAAGCUUUGAUUCCCCCAAAACUUAGCUACUAAUAGCCUACUG
Molecule: small RNA, 1405 nt
Filed under: Pan troglodytes (chimpanzee)
Lineage: Eukaryota; Metazoa; Chordata; Mammalia; Primates; Hominidae
Description: retained intron
Source: RNAcentral